Molecule: transfer RNA, 87 nt
Filed under: Nitrincola tapanii
Lineage: Bacteria; Pseudomonadati; Pseudomonadota; Gammaproteobacteria; Oceanospirillales; Oceanospirillaceae
Description: Nitrincola sp. MEB193 tRNA-Leu
Rfam family: tRNA
About the family: Transfer RNA (tRNA) molecules are approximately 80 nucleotides in length. Their secondary structure includes four short double-helical elements and three loops (D, anti-codon, and T loops).
Source: RNAcentral
GGCGGUGUGAUGGAAUUGGUAGACAUGACGGAUUCAAAAUCCGUUGCCUUUACCGGCGUGGCGGUUCGAGUCCGCCCACCGCUACCA